Molecule: ribosomal RNA, 492 nt
Filed under: uncultured bacterium
Lineage: Bacteria
Description: partial 16S ribosomal RNA
Rfam family: Bacterial small subunit ribosomal RNA
Source: RNAcentral
AGUGAACGCUGGCGGUAGGCCUAACACAUGCAAGUCGAACGGCAGCACAGUAAGAGCUUGCUCUUACGGGUGGCGAGUGGCGGACGGGUGAGGAAUACAUCGGAAUCUACUUUUUCGUGGGGGAUAACGUAGGGAAACUUACGCUAAUACCGCAUACGACCUACGGGUGAAAGCAGGGGAUCUUCGGACCUUGCGCGAUUGAAUGAGCCGAUGUCGGAUUAGCUAGUUGGCGGGGUAAAGGCCCACCAAGGCGACGAUCCGUAGCUGGUCUGAGAGGAUGAUCAGCCACACUGGAACUGAGACACGGUCCAUACUCCUACGGGAGGCAGCAGUGGGGAAUAUUGGACAAUGGGCGCAAGCCUGAUCCAGCCAUCCCGCGUGGGUGAAGAAGGCCUUCGGGUUGUAAAGCCCUUUUGUUGGGAAAGAAAAGCAGCAGGUUAAUACCCCGCUGUUCUGACGGUACCCAAAGAAUAAGCACCGGCUAACUUCGUG